ACUCCUACGGGAGGCAGCAGUGGGAAUCUUAGACAAUGGGGGCAACCCUGAUCUAGCCAUGCCGCGUGAGUGAUGAAGGCCCUAGGGUUGUAAAGCUCUUUCAGUCGUGAAGAUAAUGACGGUAGCGACAGAAGAAGCCCCGGCUAACUCCGUGCUAGCAGCCGCGGUAAUACGGAGGGGCUAGCGUUGUUCGGAAUUACUGGGCGUAAAGCGCGCGUAGGCGGAUUGGAAAGUUGGGGUGAAUCCCGAGCUCAACUUGGAAUUGCACUUGUGACUGCAUAACUAGAGUGCGGCAGAGGGGGAUGGAAUUCCGCGUGUAGCAGUGAAAUGCGUAGAUAUGCGGAGGAACACCGAUGGCGAAGGCAAUCCCUGGGCCUGCACUGACGCUCAUGCACGAAAGCGUGGGGAGCAAACAGGAUUAGAUACCCUGGUAGGUCAGUC
RNAcentral lists this ribosomal RNA (441 nucleotides) under uncultured bacterium. RNAcentral's name for it is "bacterial SSU rRNA". It matches the Rfam family "Bacterial small subunit ribosomal RNA", at positions 335 to 800 of the family's 1533-position model. The record is from RNAcentral.